AGGACGAACGCUGGCGGCGUGCUUAACACAUGCAAGUCGAGCGGUAAGGCCCUUUCGGGGGUACACGAGCGGCGAACGGGUGAGUAACACGUGGGUGACCUGCCCUUAGCUCUGGGAUAAGCCUGGGAAACUGGGUCUAAUACCGGAUAUGACCUCGCGAUGCAUGUCGUGGGGUGGAAAGCCUUGUGCGGCUAGGGAUGGGCCCGCGGCCUAUCAGCUUGUUGGUGGGGUGAUGGCCUACCAAGGCGACGACGGGUAGCCGGCCUGAGAGGGCGACCGGCCGACACUGGGACUGAGACACGGCCCAGACUCCUACGGGAGGCAGCAGUGGGGAAUCUUGCGCAAUGGGCGAAAGCCUGACGCAGCGACGCCGCGUGAGGGAUGACGGCCUUCGGGUUGUAACCUCUUUCAGCCCUGACGAAGCGAAGUGACGGUAGGGGCAGAAGAAGCACCGGCCAACUACGUGCCAGCAGCCGCGGUA
RNAcentral lists this ribosomal RNA (481 nucleotides) under uncultured bacterium. RNAcentral's name for it is "SSU rRNA". It matches the Rfam family "Bacterial small subunit ribosomal RNA", at positions 26 to 522 of the family's 1533-position model. The record is from RNAcentral.